This 2313-nucleotide ribosomal RNA is filed under the name Vibrio vulnificus. Its description in RNAcentral is "partial 23S ribosomal RNA". It matches the Rfam family "Bacterial large subunit ribosomal RNA", at positions 340 to 2649 of the family's 2925-position model. The record is from RNAcentral. Lineage: Bacteria; Pseudomonadati; Pseudomonadota; Gammaproteobacteria; Vibrionales; Vibrionaceae.
GUCUGGAAAGUCCGACGAUACAGGGUGAUAGUCCCGUAGUUGUAGACGCAUGUUCAGUGAAAUCGAGUAGGGCGGGACACGUGUUAUCCUGUCUGAAUAUGGGGGGACCAUCCUCCAAGGCUAAAUACUCCUGACUGACCGAUAGUGAACCAGUACCGUGAGGGAAAGGCGAAAAGAACCCCUGUGAGGGGAGUGAAAUAGAACCUGAAACCGUGUACGUACAAGCAGUAGGAGCACCUUCGUGGUGUGACUGCGUACCUUUUGUAUAAUGGGUCAGCGACUUAUAUUCAGUGGCAAGGUUAACCAUCUAGGGGAGCCGUAGGGAAACCGAGUCUUAACUGGGCGCCAUAGUCUCUGGAUAUAGACCCGAAACCGAGUGAUCUAGCCAUGGGCAGGUUGAAGGUUGAGUAACAUCAACUGGAGGACCGAACCGACUAAUGUUGAAAAAUUAGCGGAUGACUUGUGGCUAGGGGUGAAAGGCCAAUCAAACUCGGAGAUAGCUGGUUCUCCCCGAAAGCUAUUUAGGUAGCGCCUCGGACGAAUACUACUGGGGGUAGAGCACUGUUAAGGCUAGGGGGUCAUCCCGACUUACCAACCCUUUGCAAACUCCGAAUACCAGUAAGUACUAUCCGGGAGACACACGGCGGGUGCUAACGUCCGUCGUGGAGAGGGAAACAACCCAGACCGCCAGCUAAGGUCCCAAAUUACAGCUAAGUGGGAAACGAUGUGGGAAGGCUUAGACAGCUAGGAUGUUGGCUUAGAAGCAGCCAUCAUUUAAAGAAAGCGUAAUAGCUCACUAGUCGAGUCGGCCUGCGCGGAAGAUGUAACGGGGCUAAGUUGUAAACCGAAGCUGCGGCAAUGUUCUUUGAACAUUGGGUAGGGGAGCGUUCUGUAAGCCGUUGAAGGUGUGUUGUAAAGCAUGCUGGAGGUAUCAGAAGUGCGAAUGCUGACAUGAGUAACGACAAGGGGGGUGAAAAACCUCCCCGCCGGAAGACCAAGGGUUCCUGUCCAACGUUAAUCGGGGCAGGGUAAGUCGACCCCUAAGGCGAGGCCGAAAGGCGUAGUCGAUGGGAAACGGGUUAAUAUUCCCGUACUUCUUACAAUUGCGAUGGGGGGACGGAGAAGGCUAGGUGGGCCUGGCGACGGUUGUCCAGGUUCAAGUGCGUAGGCUGAGUGUUUAGGUAAAUCCGGACACUCUUAAGGCUGAGACACGACGUCGAGCUACUACGGUAGUGAAGUCAUUGAUGCCAUGCUUCCAGGAAAAGCCUCUAAGCUUCAGAUUGUAAGGAAUCGUACCCCAAACCGACACAGGUGGUCGGGUAGAGAAUACCAAGGCGCUUGAGAGAACUCGGGUGAAGGAACUAGGCAAAAUGGUACCGUAACUUCGGGAGAAGGUACGCUCUUGAUGGUGAAGUCCCUUGCGGAUGGAGCUGACGAGAGUCGCAGAUACCAGGUGGCUGCAACUGUUUAUUAAAAACACAGCACUGUGCAAAAUCGUAAGAUGACGUAUACGGUGUGACGCCUGCCCGGUGCCGGAAGGUUAAUUGAUGGGGUUAGCGUAAGCGAAGCUCUUGAUCGAAGCCCCGGUAAACGGCGGCCGUAACUAUAACGGUCCUAAGGUAGCGAAAUUCCUUGUCGGGUAAGUUCCGACCUGCACGAAUGGCGUAAUGAUGGCCACGCUGUCUCCACCCGAGACUCAGUGAAAUUGAAAUCGCUGUGAAGAUGCAGUGUACCCGCGGCUAGACGGAAAGACCCCGUGAACCUUUACUACAGCUUGGCACUGAACAUUGAACCUACAUGUGUAGGAUAGGUGGGAGGCUUUGAAGACGUGACGCCAGUUGCGUUGGAGCCGUCCUUGAAAUACCACCCUUGUAUGUUUGAUGUUCUAACGUUGGCCCCUAAUCGGGGUUGCGGACAGUGCCUGGUGGGUAGUUUGACUGGGGCGGUCUCCUCCCAAAGAGUAACGGAGGAGCACGAAGGUGGGCUAAUCACGGUUGGACAUCGUGAGGUUAGUGCAAUGGCAUAAGCCCGCUUAACUGCGAGAAUGACGGUUCGAGCAGGUGCGAAAGCAGGUCAUAGUGAUCCGGUGGUUCUGAAUGGAAGGGCCAUCGCUCAACGGAUAAAAGGUACUCCGGGGAUAACAGGCUGAUACCGCCCAAGAGUUCAUAUCGACGGCGGUGUUUGGCACCUCGAUGUCGGCUCAUCACAUCCUGGGGCUGAAGUCGGUCCCAAGGGUAUGGCUGUUCGCCAUUUAAAGUGGUACGCGAGCUGGGUUUAGAACGUCGUGAGACAGUUCGGUCCCUAUCUGCCGUG